Long non-coding RNA from Acinonyx jubatus (cheetah), 2896 nucleotides. RefSeq lists it as uncharacterized. The transcript is spliced from 4 exons. NCBI's taxonomy places the organism in Eukaryota, Metazoa, Chordata, Mammalia, Carnivora, Felidae. The record is from RefSeq and is a predicted model, not a curated record.
AAUGCAGAACAGCCAGCCCAAGCAUUCUCUUGCAACAGCUCAGAGCUCCAGUCUCAAGUGAUCAGGGACCACAAUUUGAAGCUAACCCCCCGUCUCGUCUUCUGCCCCCCAGACUCCACACUGGCCAGAUAUGGGAGUCUGUAAAAACGUUUUGUAAAACUGGUGAAGGAAACAAAAAUCAGCUAAAGGAGGUGGUCUGAGACGGGCAAGUUCAGACGCUUGGAAAUCCAGACACCACAGUGCCGCCCCACCUUCCAAUCCAAGGAUGCAAUGUGAGAAGCAGGUCCAACUGGAAAGCCAAAGACACAAAACUGAGCACCAUGGGAGGAGAGGCAAAACGGGAGGAAAAGCAAAGCCAGCAGGUGCCAACAGACGAGCUGCCUCCCGCGCAUGAUUGUCAACAGAGCCCCAGAGCCUCCCGGAGAAGACGGGCGAGGCUCCUCGGGCAGAUGCCAGGGCUGGAGAUGAGAGCUGCAGGCGGCUGGGCGCUUUUAUACUUCGACACCAGCAGCAGAAGGCAGUUGGGUGACUCCAGAACACUGAGCUGGCUUCAGGUUCAGAGCGUCUGGAUUUAGCAAAAGCAUUUCCCAGUCCCAGGUUAUAUUUCCUUUUCCCUUGUGUUUCCAAAAGCCGAGGUUAAAUUAAAGUCAGUUAUUGCCAGAUGAAGAUACAACAUCCUGUUUUGUAUUAAAAGAAGACUGUUUGGCUCAGGCUACUCAUCUUUCUGACAUAUUCUUGAUUAAAAGCGAAGAAAUGGAAAGUGCCAAAGCAAACACUACCUCAAAUAGAUCGGAAUGGAGAGAAUUAUCAUUUUAUUUGCUACACUUUUAUUAAUUUGGCCAAAGAGCAAAUGGAUAGUCCUGACUUUUAUGAUCAUAAAUUAAGGGAAUUUAUGUAGCUUUGUCAUUAAAAUUGCUUCUAUUUCCAUAUCAUUUCAUUUAGUAUUACUGAUUCCCUCACAGAACAAAAAGUCACUCCCCCUCCCUCACGAGAAUUGCAGAGACCCUGGGACUUAAAGGGACCAUGAGAGGCAAGUGUCCGAUGCUAAGGGGACAAGUGUGGCACUGUAAGAAAGCCAAGCCUUGGACAAGCCAGGCCUGAUGAUGAAGUGACAUCGAGCAGCUGGAGAGAGAAGAGAGGCAGGAGAGCCACCCACAGCUGCCUUCCUUACUCAGCAAAGGGACCUGAAAAACAAAAGCCACUGAGGCUGGUUGUAUCACUUCUUUGGGACAGCUGUCCCUAGAGCCCACAUCUAUACUUAGGAGGAAUCUGGUCCUGGGCACAGUGUGGGAAGUGAGAGAAUUUUUCUGUAGAAUAGAAGCUCUCCAGUUCACGAGUGUGGGGGCCUUGUGAGUCAUGCUUAUUCAAAGCGAGCAGUUCCCACCUAGUGGAGUAUGAGAGGCUUUGCCGUCCCCAUCCCGUAGGUCUACCAGUCCGAAAUCUCCUCACUGGAGAAUUCUUUGAGAUCUGUGAUGAGCACGCCUAGGUAAGUCUCCCCAGGGAGGAUAGCACAUCAACCCUGUUAUCUGGCAUUAACUCUGACGGAGGAUGUCUUUACCAGACCCAGAGCUGCAGACCGGGGAAGUUAACACCUGGGUCUUGUGGUCAAGCAGGCGGAUGGAAUGUCACUGUGAGGAAAAGGCCCAGGGGAGUGUCUCAGUGGGGAUGCUCCCUUAUCGGAGAGGCCUGGAAACGAUUUUACAGGAAGACCAUGAAACAAGAAAUGGCUCUGCGAUCCAGGUCACCUAACUCCCAAGUUUUCUGAGAGCUGUCCUUGGCAGCUCCCACCACCUGGACCACCUAGCGAAGUCGCUACAAGCCAACGUCUUCUCACUUUCAACUGCAUUGAGGCUUUCCGUUGGUGUUUUCAAUGCUUUCAACUAUUCUAGUGGUUCUCACUCCCAGCUGCCUGUUAAACCAGGAAGCUUCUAAAGAUAUCAGUGCCUGGAUCCUAUCCCAGACCAAUGGAGUCAGACUCUGUAGUGGGGCCAGGGCACCAACAGUUUUGAAAAAGUUCCCCGAGAUGAUUCUACUAUGCAGCCAGGGUUAGGGAAUCACUGACCCAUCCUCUCCUUGACUCAACAGGAAUAAAUAACAUCUAUAAUUUGUUGAGCAUUUACCGCGUGCCAGCCAAAUACUUGUUUGCUUUAGGUCACUGACUUUUCUUAGCAAACCUAUUAUUACCAUCUUUUAGAUGAGGAAACGGGGGUGGGGGGGGUUGCUCAGAGAGGUAAAGUGACUUGCCUGACGUUACACAAUUGGAAAGAGGUCAUUAGGAGAUGUAUCCAUCUAUCCUCCUGCUUUCCUACAGCAAAGCAGAAGACCAGUGACAGGCUGGCUGCAGAGAGAAGGCCAGGUUCAUCACAGCCAGAAGGCUCACACACAGAAUCAGGUCAGAGGGCUAUGAGUGGAAUUAUAUAUCACCCAAAGAGAUGUUGGAGUCCUAACCUCCAUACUCCUGAGAUGACUUUAUUUGGAAACAGAGUCUUUGUCUAUGAUCAAGUUAAGAUGAGGUCACUGGGUUGGGCCCUAACCAGAUCUGACUGUCUUCUUAUAAAGGAAAAAUUUGGACACAGAGAUAGACACGCACACAGGAAGAGUGUCGUGUGAAGAUGAAGGUAGGGAUGGGGGUGAUGCAUUUACAAGUCAGGGAAAACCAAAAAUCGCCAGCAAACCACCAGAAGCUGGGAGAAGGACAUGAAGCAGAUUGCCAACCGCCCCCCCCACCCCCGCCCCACAGCACAGAAGGAACCAAUUCAGGCUGACAACUUGACCUCAGCCUUCCAACCUCCAAACUAGGAGACAAUGAAUUCCUUCGUUCAAGCCACUUGAUUUGUGGCACUUUGUUAUGGCAGCCACAGCAAAUGCAUACAGAGAACAUGUGGGGAAGCUUCCA